This 402-nucleotide ribosomal RNA is filed under the name uncultured bacterium. RNAcentral's name for it is "bacterial SSU rRNA". It matches the Rfam family "Bacterial small subunit ribosomal RNA", at positions 362 to 757 of the family's 1533-position model. The record is from RNAcentral.
UUUUGGACAAUGGGGGCAACCCUGAUCCAGCAAUGCCGCGUGAGUGAAGAAGGCCUUCGGGUUGUAAAGCUCUUUUGUCAGGGAAGAAACACCGGCUCUAACACAGUCCGGGAAUGACGGUACCUGAAGAAUAAGCACCGGCUAACUACGUGCCAGCAGCCGCGGUAAUACGUAGGGUGCAAGCGUUAAUCGGAAUUACUGGGCGUAAAGCGUGCGCAGGCGGUUAUACAAGACAGGCGUGAAAUCCCCGGGCUUAACCUGGGAAUGGCGCCUGUGACUGUAUAGCUAGAGUGUGUCAGAGGGGGGUAGAAUUCCACGUGUAGCAGUGAAAUGCGUAGAUAUGUGGAGGAAUACCAAUGGCGGAGGCAGCCCCCUGGGAUAACACUGACGCUCAUGCACGAA